AUUGAACGCUGGCGGCAUGCCUUACACAUGCAAGUCGAACGGUAACAGGUCUUCGGAUGCUGACGAGUGGCGAACGGGUGAGUAAUACAUCGGAACGUGCCUAGUAGUGGGGGAUAACUACUCGAAAGAGUGGUUAAUACCGCAUGAGAUCUACGGAUGAAAGCAGGGGAUCGCAAGACCUUGUGCUACUAGAGCGGCCGAUGGCAGAUUAGGUAGUUGGUGGGAUAAAAGCUUACCAAGCCGACGAUCUGGAGCUGGCCUGAGAGGACGAUUAGCCACACUGGGACUGAAACACGGCCCAGACGCCUACGGGAGGCAGCAGUGGGGAAUUUUGGAUAAUGGGCGAAAGCCUGAUCCAGCAAUGCCGCGUGCAGGAUGAAGGCCUUCGGGUUGUAGACUGCUUUUGUACGGAACGAAAAGCCCCGGGUUAAUACCCUGGGGUCAUGACGGUACCGUAAGAAUAAGCACCGGCUAACUACGUGCCAGCAGCCGCAGUAA
RNAcentral lists this ribosomal RNA (498 nucleotides) under uncultured bacterium. Its description in RNAcentral is "partial 16S ribosomal RNA". It matches the Rfam family "Bacterial small subunit ribosomal RNA", at positions 30 to 523 of the family's 1533-position model. The record is from RNAcentral.